RNAcentral lists this ribosomal RNA (496 nucleotides) under uncultured bacterium. Its description in RNAcentral is "partial 16S ribosomal RNA". It matches the Rfam family "Bacterial small subunit ribosomal RNA", at positions 28 to 506 of the family's 1533-position model. The record is from RNAcentral.
GAUGAACGCUGGCGGCGUGCCUAAUACAUGCAAGUCGAGCGAACAGACGAGGAGCUUGCUCCUCUGACGUUAGCGGCGGACGGGUGAGUAACACGUGGAUAACCUACCUAUAAGACUGGGAUAACUUCGGGAAACCGGAGCUAAUACCGGAUAAUAUAUUGAACCGCAUGGUUCAAUAGUGAAAGACGGUUUUGCUGUCACUUAUAGAUGGAUCCGCGCCGCAUUAGCUAGUUGGUAAGGUAACGGCUUACCAAGGCAACGAUGCGUAGCCGACCUGAGAGGGUGAUCGGCCACACUGGAACUGAGACACGGUCCAGACUCCUACGGGAGGCAGCAGUAGGGAAUCUUCCGCAAUGGGCGAAAGCCUGACGGAGCAACGUCGCGUGAGUGAUGAAGGUCUUCGGAUCGUAAAACUCUGUUAUUAGGGAAGAACAAAUGUGUAAGUAACUAUGCACGUCUUGACGGUACCUAAUCAGAAAGCCACGGCUAACUACGU